GAAAUGCGAUAAGUAAUGUGAAUUGCAGAAUUCAGUGAAUCAUCGAAUCUUUGAACGCACCUUGCGCUCCUUGGUAUUCCUUGGAGCAUGCCUGUUUGAGUAUCAUUUCACCACUCAAGCCUCGCUUGGUAUUGGGCGACGCGGUCCGCCGCGCGCCUCAAAUCGACCGGCUGGGUCUUUCGUCCCCUCAGCGUUGUGGAAACUAUUCGCUAAAGGGUGCCGCGGGAGGCCACGCCGUAAAACAACCCCAUUUCUAAGGUUGACCUCGGAUCAGGUAGGGAUACCCGCUGAACUUAAGC
Molecule: unclassified non-coding RNA, 299 nt
Filed under: plant metagenome
Description: partial contains 5.8S ribosomal RNA, internal transcribed spacer 2, and large subunit ribosomal RNA
Rfam family: 5.8S ribosomal RNA (bases 1-105)
Source: RNAcentral